This 484-nucleotide ribosomal RNA is filed under the name uncultured bacterium. RNAcentral's name for it is "partial 16S ribosomal RNA". It matches the Rfam family "Bacterial small subunit ribosomal RNA", at positions 30 to 507 of the family's 1533-position model. The record is from RNAcentral.
AUUGAACGCUGGCGGCAGGCCUAACACAUGCAAGUCGAGCGGAUGAAGGGAGCUUGCUCCUGGAUUCAGCGGCGGACGGGUGAGUAAUGCCUAGGAAUCUGCCUGGUAGUGGGGGAUAACGUCCGGAAACGGGCGCUAAUACCGCAUACGUCCUGAGGGAGAAAGUGGGGGAUCUUCGGACCUCACGCUAUCAGAUGAGCCUAGGUCGGAUUAGCUAGUUGGUUGGGUAAAGGCCUACCAAGGCGACGAUCCGUAACUGGUCUGAGAGGAUGAUCAGUCACACUGGAACUGAGACACGGUCCAGACUCCUACGGGAGGCAGCAGUGGGGAAUAUUGGACAAUGGGCGAAAGCCUGAUCCAGCCAUGCCGCGUGUGUGAAGAAGGUCUUCGGAUUGUAAAGCACUUUUAGUUGGGAGGAAGGGCAGUAAGUUAAUACCUUGCUGUUUUGACGUUACCAACAGAAUAAGCACCGGCUAACUUCGUG